This is a ribosomal RNA of Actinospica robiniae DSM 44927, 3124 nucleotides long. It matches the Rfam family "Bacterial large subunit ribosomal RNA". NCBI's taxonomy places the organism in Bacteria, Bacillati, Actinomycetota, Actinomycetes, Catenulisporales, Actinospicaceae. The record is from Rfam.
GUGUAAGUGUUUAAGGGCGCACGGUGGAUGCCUUGGUACCAGGAGCCGAUGAAGGACGUGUCUGGCCGCGAUAGGCCCCGGGGAGCCGCCGAGAGGGCUUUGAUCCGGGGGUGUCCGAAUGGGGGAACCCGGCACCCGUCAUGGGGUGUCACCCUCGCCUGAAUGUAUAGGGCGAGUGGAGGGAACCCGGGGAAGUGAAACAUCUCAGUACCCGGUGGAAGAGAAAACAACAUGUGAUUCCGUGAGUAGUGGCGAGCGAAAGCGGAUCUAGCCUAAACCUUGUGCGUGUGAUACCCGGCAGGGGUUGCGUGUGAGGGGUUGUGGGACGUGCCUGGAUCGUCUGCCGGCGAUCCGACGAGUAAGAAACCUGUGGUGUAGUCGAACGGCAUGCGAGUGGCCGACCGUAGUGGGUGAGAGUCCCGUAGACGACAUGCUGCAGGCUCGUGGCGCUGUUCCCGAGUAGCGCGGGGCCCGUGAAAUCCCGUGUGAAUCUGCCAGGACCACCUGGUAAGGCUGAAUACUUCCUGGUGACCGAUAGUGCACGAGUACCGUGAGGGAAGGGUGAAAAGUACCCCGGGAGGGGAGUGAAAGAGUUCCUGAAACCGUGUGCCUACAAUCCGUCGGAGCGUCGUCUCACCGGUAGCGGUGGGGCCGUGACGGCGUGCCUUUUGAAGAAUGAGCCUGCGAGUUAGUGGCGCGUGGCGAGGUUAACCCGGGUGGGGUAGCCGUAGCGAAAGCGAGUCCGAUAAGGGCGUUUAUAGUCGCGCGUUCUAGACCCGAAGCGGAGUGAUCUAGCCAUGGGCAGGGUGAAGCGCCGGUAAGACGGUGUGGAGGCCCGAACCCACCAGGGUUGAAAACCUGGGGGAUGACCUGUGGUUAGGGGUGAAAGGCCAAUCAAACUCCGUGAUAGCUGGUUCUCCCCGAAAUGCAUUUAGGUGCAGCGUUGCGUGUGCGUGCCGGAGGUAGGGCGCUGGAUGGCCGAUGGGCCCGACCAGGUUACUGACGUCAGCCAAACUUCGAAUGCCGGUACGUUGAGCGUGGCAGUGAGACUGUGGGGGAUAAGCUCCAUGGUCGAGAGGGAAACAGCCCAGAACAUCGACUAAGGCCCCUAAGCGCGUGCUAAGUGGGAAAGGAUGUGGGACCGCGGUGACAACCAGGAGGUUGGCUUAGAAGCAGCCACCCUUGAAAGAGUGCGUAAUAGCUCACUGGUCAAGUGGUUCCGCGCCGACAAUGUAGCGGGGCUCAAGUACGCCGCCGAAGUCGUGUCAAUGCCAUGAGCCCGCCCCGGGUCGUUCCGGGGCCAGGUGUGGUGUUGGGUAGGGGAGCGUCGCAUGUCCGGUGAAGCGGCCCUGUGAGGGAGUCGUGGAGGGCAUGCGAGUGAGAAUGCAGGCAUGAGUAGCGAAUCCACCGUGAGAAUCGGUGGCACCGAAUGACCAAGGGUUCCUGGGCCAGGCUGUUCCGCCCAGGGUGAGUCGGGACCUAAGGCGAGGCCGACAGGCGUAGUCGAUGGACAACGGGUUGAUAUUCCCGUACCCGCUGUGGACCGCAAGGGCCGAGCCCCGUGAUACUAAGCCCGCUGAAUCUUCCGGAAGCCUUCGGGCCAUGGGAGUGGAGGCCGGUGACCUGAUCGGGUAGUAGGCGAGCGAUGGAGUGACGCAGGAAGGUAGUUCAUCCCGGGCGGUGGUCGUCCCGGGCCAAGCAGGUAGGCCGGCUGGUAGGCAAAUCCGCCAGUCAUCAAGGCUGAGAUGUGAUGGGGAGCCCGUAGGGGCGAAGUGGAUGAUCCUAUGCUGUCGAGAAAAGCUUCUAGCGAGGGACACGGCGGCCCGUACCCCAAACCGACACAGGUGGUCAGGUAGAGAAUACCGAGGUGUUCGGGUGAACUGUGGUUAAGGAACUCGGCAAAAUACCCCCGUAACUUCGGGAGAAGGGGGACCCGUGCUGGUGACGAGCUUCGCGCUCCGAGCUGGUGUGGGUCGCAGAGACCAGCGGGAAGCGACUGUUUACUAAAAACACAGGUCCGUGCGAAGCCGCAAGGCGAUGUAUACGGACUGACGCCUGCCCGGUGCUGGAACGUUAAGGGGACCCGUCAGCCUCACGGCGAAGCGGUGAACUGAAGCGCCAGUAAACGGCGGUGGUAACUAUAACCAUCCUAAGGUAGCGAAAUUCCUUGUCGGGUAAGUUCCGACCUGCACGAAUGGCGUAACGACUUCCCGACUGUCUCAACCACAGGCCCGGUGAAAUUGCACUACGAGUAAAGAUGCUCGUUUCGCGCAGCAGGACGGAAAGACCCCAGGACCUUUACUAUAGCUUGAUAUUGGUGUCCGGGGCGGCUUGUGUAGGAUAGGUGGGAGACUGUGAAGUCGUGGCGCCAGCCAUGGUGGAGUCGUUGUUGAAAUACCACUCUGGCCGUCUCGGGUGUCUAACCCGGGUCCGUGAUCCGGAUCGGGGACAGUGUCUGGUGGGUAGUUUAACUGGGGCGGUUGCCUCCUAAAGAGUAACGGAGGCGCCCAAAGGUUCCCUCAGCCUGGUUGGCAAUCAGGUGGCGAGUGUAAGUGCACAAGGGGGCUUGACUGUGAGACUGACGGGUCGAGCAGGAGCGAAAGCUGGGACUAGUGAUCCGGCGGUGGCUGGUGGAAGCGCCGUCGCUCAACGGAUAAAAGGUACCCUGGGGAUAACAGGCUGAUCUUGCCCAAGAGUCCAUAUCGACGGCAUGGUUUGGCACCUCGAUGUCGGCUCGUCGCAUCCUGGGGCUGGAGUAGGUCCCAAGGGUUGGGCUGUUCGCCCAUUAAAGCGGUACGCGAGCUGGGUUUAGAACGUCGUGAGACAGUUCGGUCCCUAUCCGCUGCGCGCGUUGGAGGAUUGAGAAGGGCUGUCCCUAGUACGAGAGGACCGGGAUGGACGGACCUCUGGUGUGCCAGUUGUCCCGCCAGGGGCAUGGCUGGUUGGCUACGUUCGGAAGGGAUAACCGCUGAAAGCAUCUAAGCGGGAAGCCUGCUUCGAGAUGAGUCCUCCCACCACCUUGAGUGGGUAAGGCCCCCUAGAGACCAUGGGGUUGAUAGGCCGGACAUGGAAGCGCCGUGAGGUGUGGAGUGGACCGGUACUAAUAGGCCGAGGGCUUACACAC